Molecule: ribosomal RNA, 273 nt
Filed under: uncultured bacterium
Lineage: Bacteria
Description: partial 16S ribosomal RNA
Rfam family: Bacterial small subunit ribosomal RNA
Source: RNAcentral
AUACGGAGGCUGCAAGCGUUACUCGGAAUCACUGGGCGUAAAGCGCGCGCAGGCGGCUAUUUAAGUUGGAUGUGAAAGCCUACGGCUCAACCGUAGAACUGCAUCCAAAACUAUUUAGCUAGAGUGUGGGGAGGAAGAUGGAAUUAGUUGUGUAGGGGUAAAAUCCGUAGAGAUAACUAGGAAUACCAAAAGCGAAGGCAAUCUUCUGGAACACUACUGACGCUGAGGCGCGAAAGCGUGGGGAGCAAACAGGAUUAGAAACCCUAGUAGUCC